GAUGAACGCUGGCGGCGUGCCUAAUACAUGCAAGUCGAGCGAACAGACGAGAGUGCUUGCACUCUCUGACGUUAGCGGCGGACGGGUGAGUAACACGUGGGUAACCUACCUAUCAGACUGGGAUAACUUCGGGAAACCGGAUCUAAUACCGGAUAAUAUUUAGCUUCGCAUGAAGCAAUAGUGAAAGACGGUUCUGCUGUCACUUCUAGAUGGACCCGCGGUGUAUUAGCUAGUUGGUGAGGUAACGGCUCACCAAGGCAACGAUACAUAGCCGACCCGAGAGGGUGAUCGGCCACACUGGGACUGAGACACGGCCCAGACUCCUACGGGAGGCAGCAGUAGGGAAUCUUCCGCAAUGGACGAAAGUCUGACGGAGCAAUGCCGCGUGAGUGAAGAAGGUUUUCGGAUCGUAAAACUCUGUUGUAAGGGAAGAACAAGUACGUUAGUAACUGAACGUACCUUGACGGUACCUUACCAGAAAGCCACGGCUAACUACGUG
This 499-nucleotide ribosomal RNA is filed under the name uncultured bacterium. RNAcentral describes it as "partial 16S ribosomal RNA". It matches the Rfam family "Bacterial small subunit ribosomal RNA", at positions 28 to 507 of the family's 1533-position model. The record is from RNAcentral.